CAAAUAAAAAACCACCAAAAAAAUUUCAUUUCCCUCUCUAUCUUCUUCUUAUUCUUCCUCUCUGUCUCACACAGAAACCAUUCUGUCUCUCCCUUCACUUUCAGACCCAUACUCGGAAACCCCCAACCCCAAACACAGAAACCCCAAUGGAGAGACCCAUACUCGGAAACCCCCAAACCCCAAACGCAGAAACCCCACCGGAGAGACCCAAACCCAAACCUCAGUUAUAUAAGGACUUGUUCUCUCUCCUUACGCCUCUCCUCUCCUUUGCAAUCCAACUCAAACUAGGCGAACCAGAUGCGAACCACGAGCUGAUCUCCUAAAGCCGAGCCGAGCCCAGUAGGGGAGAGCAUAUAUAGUAACCAUACAAAUGUAAACCAUUUUCAUCAUCGCCUUUUCAUUUUCUCUACAUUUCUGCGAACCAUUCUGCUCUCUAUUGCCUCUCUGAGUUUUUGAACAAUGGCCGUGAAAAUAAAACGGAUAUCACUAGCUCGUGAACUCUGUACUUGGUUGAGCCUGAUGUUCAAGAUGGUCCUUGUUUCGAUUUAGAUUGCUGCUCGUGUUGGUGGAAAGAGAACGAUAAUAGUUAUUGUCACAUAGAACUGGAUGCCAAGUUGAAGAUCCGACUGUGCGAUGCCGAAACUGGAUGCCAAGCUAUAGUUCCAUUCAUGGAAUUCUUCCUGCCAGUAUUCCUUAAAUUGUUCCCUAACAUAUUACCAUCAAACAUCAAGGACAAGAUUAAAGAGCAGGAGGAAUUGAAAAGAAAGCUAAAUGCAAGAAUAGAAUAUGCAAAAUUUCUUCAAGACACAGUAAAAGAAAUGGCAAAGGAAAUCAAAAACCUCACGAAGUGGAGAAGUUAAGCAGACAGCAGAAGAUCUUGAUGAAUUUAUGAACAAGGUUAGAACAGGCGAGCGUGUUGCUAACAACGAGAUUUUAGGCUUUGCCAAGCUAUUCAGUGAUGAACUUACGUUAGACAACAUUAGCAGGAUCAAGGAGGAUGAUAAGAUGAUUCAAGUUGAGGGAGUGGAGUCCCUUUUAGAAAAAGAGCUUAUUUCAGCCUGUCGAGAACGAGUCAUACUUGGAACACAUUCAGUAGAGGAAAUGCGAGAAGAGUCUUUCAUUGAUUUGCAAUUUCCAAAUGGGUAAUUGACUUAUGUCUCUCGUGAGGGGUUAAGUACAAGUGUUUUCUUACAAGUUUGUGGAGGUCUUUUUCAAGCUCAAGGUCAAUAUCUAGGAGAGAUGAGAUUUAGUUUCUCUUGCAAGGUUUGCAAACUGAUAAGAUUUUUAUUAGAACGUUGUAUUAGAAUAAAUGGGGAACACGCAUCACUCCAACGAUACAAAAGUCUUUUACAUUAGGUCUUGCACAAGCUUUGGCUUGGUAGAGAUCUGGUCUCAUGGUGAGGCCUACAGUUCAAGUCAGGUUAGUUUCUUCUUUAUUAUACUUAUUUUGAGAUUUGAAAAAUGUAGAUUAUGAAAAUAAUCAUGGAUGGGCUCCAAGUUAAAGCUACUUCUUAAACUCUUUGAUAGUACACAAAUUGUGGCUUGGGCUAGGUUCUGAUGCAGAAUGGGUUUUAUUUUGGGAUGUUACGUGUCAGAUUUAGAUAGUUGAUUUCCUAUCUUGUGAUUUUUUUUGCUCCUUAACAUAAAAUAAAUCUUACCAUAGUAUCAGAACUUGGCUCUUUUGCCCUUAUGUCAUAUGCUACCCUACUAAGUCUUGCAUGUAUGGGAACUCAGCUAAAUGGUCCCUAUGUCAAUACCGUAUGAUUACAACUAGGCCUGCCAUAUGGUAUUGUGUUAGAAAACCAACAUGAGAACUGGGCCUACCGUAUGGUAUGGUGCUAGAAAACCAACAUGGCAAGUAACCAUCGUAUUGGUCUAGCUGGGUGAUUUGGUAUUUUUUUUCUUCAGAACAGAAGUUGGUUUUUUAACUGUUUGAACUAUGAUGUACAAUUGCUAACAUUAUGCAGUAUUACGUCCUCAUAAACAGUCACUUGAGUAGUUGGUGUGAAGCUUCAUUUAUUUAGUUUUACUAUGGUAGUCAGCAGUGUGUUUUCUAUUAAGCUCUAGGCUAGUUAAGUCUAGAUAAUAAUUAAAAAAAUAGACAUUUUUUUCCCUAUUAAGUAUUCUUUUACCCAGUUUAUUGCUUUCAACCUGAAUGUUGUUUUUUUCAUGGAAUUUUAACCAUUUUGAAUAGUAUUUAGUCUAUCAAAAUUCAUGUUCCUAUGGUAGUUUCAUAAGAUAAGUCAUGGUUUGGGGUUGUAUGUACUUUGCCAAGGACCAUAAAAGUUUUCUCAAAAAUUAGGAAGUCAUCUUUUUGUUUUUUUAGCAUUUUUUUCCUUUUUAGAUUCUGUUACUAUUUACUCGUCCAAUUUUAUUACACUUGGUGUUUAUAUUUUUCCUGUUCAAUGAUUUGUAACAAUCAGUUUAUGUCCAACAUUGGGGGGAAGCAAUCUUGGAGUGAGGGCAGAACACACACACACACAUGUAUAUAUUGAGCAUUUUGGAAGCAAUACAUGACUUGGGGUAAUAACAUGAUAUAGAACAUACAUCUAACUUUUUUAUUUUUUAUAAUGUUGAUAAUAAUAUUUAGGUUAAUAUUUUGAUUGGUCUUAAAGCAUUGGAUCGGUAGCUAAUUGCAAGAGGUAUGUUGUAUUUGAUUUUUUUUUUAAUUUUCAAUAUUUUACAAUUUUGAAUGAUAAUUGUAUUACUUUAGUGGAGUUUGAAUAUUUUAGAUAUUCAUUCAUAGUGAAGUAGGUUCUGAGAAUUUUGUGUGCUGUGGUGAUAACUGAAGAUUGAGAACUUGCAUGUCUUAGUGAAGUAGGUUCAGAGAAUUUUGUGUGCUGCGGUGAUAUAUGGAUGAAAACUUGUGUGCUGUUUGAUUUGUCUGACAUGUUGGUGUUGAAUGUGAUUGAUGGCUAGGGUAGUAAAUUAGGGGAUAUGCUGUCGGAUUUGUUGAUUUUAGUAUAUAUUAUGUAUAUAUAUUUUUUGUUGGAUACUUUGCCUUUGAUUUUGUUAUGUUUAUUCAGAUUUAGAGUAUAUAUGUAUAAUUAUGUAAUUAAGUUCUUUUGUGUGAUACAUUUUUUACAUUCAUUGAUUUUGGUAUAUAUAUAUAUAAAUAUGUUUUUGUUGGAUAUUUCUUUCUGGUAUGAUUAUGGUUAAUUAUAUUUAUGGUAUUCUUUUUUUGCCAAUGAUGUUAAAAUAAUUAGUAUGCUUAUUAUGUUGGUGAUUAAAAGACUUAUUGUGCUUUUAUAUUUUUAAAGGCAUACAAAGUGUCAUAAAUGCUCAUAAUACGUUCUUUUUUCUUUUUGAAAUCCUUAUUGUUAUACCCAAAAAUUGGAGAUCAAUGGCAUGGUAAUAAAGAUGACAAAAUGCAUCCUAGGAGGCUAAAGAGAGUGAUCCUAGGAGAACCCAAGGAUGAGGUCCGAGGAGAACUCAAGAAAGUGGUCUUAAGAGACUCCAAGGAGAAAGUGGUCCUAGGAGACCCUAAGGAGUAUGUGGUCCUAGGAGACCCCAAGGGUGUGUCUGAGGUAAGCCUCCCAAGGUUUUCUAAGUGUUGGCUCGAAAGUGUCCAAGGUAAGUAGCUAAGGAGGAGGAGUCCCAUGCAAGUCAAGAAUGGAGACUUAGAUUUUGACAAGAAGAGCCUACACAAUGUCCGAUCGAACAUAGUUGGGAGAUGGUAAAGGAGAGUGCCUCAGACUUGUCCAAGGUGAGAUGCCAAGGAGGAUGCCUCGGACCACCUUGGUCCAAGGAGAAGGCCACAAGGUCCGAAGGGACCUUGAAUGGAGGGGGUAUGCUCGGACUUGUCCGAGGAGAGAAACAGGAGAGAAGGAUGCAUCGGACCACCUUGGUCCAAGGAGAAGGCAUGAGAAGGAUGCCUCGGACCACCUUGGUCCAAGGAGAGCCAAGCUUGUAUCACCUUGGUCCAAGGAAAGCUUGAAGGAGUAAUCAACAUGCAUGUGAGACUACGUCAAAGUCCCCAGAGCGACUCUAGCAAGAAUUGGUCUAGGCACCCGGUAAUCUCUCACUCCUCACUCAAAUUGAGGAAUCAGUUGUAUUUUAAACAUUUAUUGUAAUAUAAAUAUAAGAUGAAUAAUAAAAUAUCCCUAUCGAAAGGGGAUAUCAGUUGAGGAUCCCAGGCCUAUAAAUAGAGAGCUUAUGGGAUAAGAGAGGGGUUUCUGUUGCUUCUUCUUUCUAGAGAGAGAAAAUUGGGUCUGUGUAUUCUAGAGAGAGAAAGUGCUGAUAUUUGAGAGAACUCUUGUAUUUUCACAAUCUGUACUGAAGAAAUUCAGUUGGCUCAGUCCAUCUGAUCUUGAGUAUAGAUCUAUAAAUCACAACUCUAAGUGGAUUAGGCUAUUACUGACAAUCGGGGCUGAACCACUAUAAAAUCUCUUGUGUUGUUUAUCUUUCUGUUCAUAAACUGUCUGUUGUCGUUUAUAUUCUCUUGAAGGCUUGUCGUAUUUGACGUUCUCACGUCAUUGGCUAAAAAGACAGUCAACACUUAUGAUGAUUAAAUUUGGGAUAUUCUAUUAUUAAAUUAGGAAUUUUGUUAUACUGUAAUUCACAACAUCAUUAGUCUCCCAAUUGUCUCAAACUUUGUCGUCAUUCUUACAAGGUCAGCUUUUGUUUAUAAUCUCUAAGAGGGAUUAAUUAACAAAAUUUACAUAUUUAUAUUGUUGGUUCUCUUAUUCAUUCGUUAAUAUAUUAUGGUAAGAUAUACUAUUUAAUUAUAAUUUGAAGUAUUUAAUUCAUUGGUGCAGGGAAUAUCAUAGGAUUGACUUUUAAGGUGGAUACCUAGAUUUAUUGGGAAGAAUAUUGAGAAAAGAAACAUGAUUGGAUAUGGAGAAUAGAAUUAUGUUGUUUUGUUGAGAAUUGUUGUAUUAUAUAUUUUGAAGUUUAUGGAUUUAUAAUAUUAUAAUGAAUUUUUAUUGAGAAUUAUUUAGUCUCAUGGGGAUUUGAUGUAUUAUUUACAUUUCAAUUGUAUGAAUAAAUGUUGUAUGUAUAUGAA
Humulus lupulus (European hop) is the source of this 5005-nucleotide RNA transcript. RefSeq lists it as uncharacterized. The transcript has 6 exons. Lineage: Eukaryota; Viridiplantae; Streptophyta; Magnoliopsida; Rosales; Cannabaceae. The record is from RefSeq and is a predicted model, not a curated record.